Molecule: ribosomal RNA, 512 nt
Filed under: uncultured bacterium
Lineage: Bacteria
Description: partial 16S ribosomal RNA
Rfam family: Bacterial small subunit ribosomal RNA
Source: RNAcentral
GACGAACGCUGGCGGCGUGCCUAAUACAUGCAAGUCGAGCGGAACUGGGGGAGCUUGCUCCUUCCAGUUUAGCGGCGGACGGGUGAGUAACACGUGGGCAACCUGCCCUGCAGAUCGGGAUAACUCCGGGAGACCGGUGCUAAUACCGAAUAGUUUGGCGCCUCUCCUGAGGCGCUACGGAAAGACGGUUUCGGCUGUCACUGCAGGAUGGGCCCGCGGCGCAUUAGCUAGUUGGUGGGGUAACGGCCCACCAAGGCGACGAUGCGUAGCCGACCUUAGAGGGUAACCGGCCACACUGGGACUGAGACACGGCCCAGACUCCUACGGGAGGCAGCAGUAGGGAAUCUUCCGCAAUGGACGCAAGUCUGACGGAGCAACGCCGCGUGAGUGACGAAGGUUUUCGGAUCGUAAAACUCUGUUGUGAGGGAAGAACACGUACCAACUAACUAUUGGUACCUUGACGGUACCUCACCAGAAAGCCACGGCUAACUACGUGCCAGCCGCCGCGGUAA